RNAcentral lists this ribosomal RNA (18 nucleotides) under Lycaena dispar aurata. RNAcentral describes it as "partial 12S ribosomal RNA". The record is from RNAcentral. Lineage: Eukaryota; Metazoa; Arthropoda; Insecta; Lepidoptera; Lycaenidae.
AAAGUGUUUCUAGAUUGA